AACGAACGCUGGCGGCAUGCCUAACACAUGCAAGUCGAACGAGACCUUCGGGUCUAGUGGCGCACGGGUGCGUAACGCGUGGGAACCUGCCCUUAGGUUCGGAAUAACUCCCCGAAAGGGGUGGUAAUACCGGAUAAUGUCUUCGGACCAAAGAUUUAUCGCCUUUGGAUGGGCCCGCGUUGGAUUAGCUAGUUGGUAGGGUAAAAGCCUACCAAGGCGACGAUCCAUAGCUGGUCUGAGAGGAUGAUCAGCCACACUGGGACUGAGACACGGCCCAGACUCCUACGGGAGGCAGCAGUGGGGAAUAUUGGACAAUGGGCGAAAGCCUGAUCCAGCAAUGCCGCGUGAGUGAUGAAGGCCUUAGGGUUGUAAAGCUCUUUUACCCGGGAUGAUAAUGACAGUACCGGGAGAAUAAGCUCCGGCUAACUCCGUG
Molecule: ribosomal RNA, 433 nt
Filed under: uncultured bacterium
Lineage: Bacteria
Description: partial 16S ribosomal RNA
Rfam family: Bacterial small subunit ribosomal RNA
Source: RNAcentral